Molecule: long non-coding RNA, 2590 nt
Filed under: Solanum tuberosum (potato)
Lineage: Eukaryota; Viridiplantae; Streptophyta; Magnoliopsida; Solanales; Solanaceae
Description: long non-coding RNA (STUB_LNC003013)
Source: RNAcentral
AAAAAAAUAGAAUUAUGAAAUAUUUAUCUAAGUGAAAUAUUUUGUAAACUUAUUCUUUAAGUUUUGUUAAAAGAUGACUGGUUUAGUUAAUUUCUUAAAGCGAAAUGGACUUCUUUCGAGGAUUUGAAUUAUUGGUCUUCAGAUUAACGACAAAUAAUGACAGAUAAACAAAUAUGGCAUAGUAAAGUAAAGAGAGAAAUUUUGGGCCCAAGUCUGGUUUUCUGUUCGUCUGGGCCAGCACUUGGGCCUAAUUUCAUUUUGGCCCGAUUUUUGCCACCUUUGUACCUGUCUUAAUUUCUAACAAGAAUAUUGAUAAAUAAAAUGACGAGGGCUUAGGCCCAAAAUAACAAAAUACAUCUCUUUGGAAUUAAGAGUGGACCCUUGGCUCAAUCUUUCCAAUUUUUCAAUCUGCCGCGUAUCUUUCGAUUUUGGGACCUGUUCGUCGAUUUUAAAGGCUGGUAGACUCGGAUAAAAUAAAAUUGGGCCUCCAUGGCCCAAUAGAAAAAUGCAAGGAUGGAGUCCGCGAGGACUUGGACAGAUUUCACAUGCGACAAAACAAAUAAAAUACAUAAGUAACACUCACGAUAAUUUGAUAGCAGGAACGACACAAUACGAUAGUGGUAUAAUAUGACAAGCUACUGCUAACAUCAACUUCUUUGUCACAAAACUCAUAUAUUCCAACUAACACCAAAUGAAAUAUUCCAAUUUCACAUCAUGGAUAAGCAGAAACUGGGACAAUAUAAUAAUUCCAACAAAGAAUACAAUGCCAUGCCAGGGAAUAAAUGUUGCUACAACGUGUGAGAAAGAUAGAAAAAAAAGAAUACAUAAAAUAAAUAAAUAAAUAAAUAAAAUAAAAAUAUAAUGAUAAUAAAAACAACUAAAAUCCUAACUAGCACGGGAAACAAACAAACAUUAAUUGGCUAUACUUAAACAAUAGCAAAUGCACAAGGAGGAACUGUAUUUGAACUAAAUUUCUUAUUUUUAGGAUAAAAAUAAAAAAUAAAAAUUGGUACAUUAAUUCAAAUUAAGCGGAUACACAUGAAACUAAGGGACUUGACGAGAAAAUUUAAAAAAGGAAAGAAAAUAAACAUGUUAUGUCACAUAAACCUAUCAAGCAGGACUAGUGGUUUUACAUUUAAGACGAAACCGUGUUAAACCAAAACAAUCUCAAAUCGAUCAGGGGUCAAACAAAGCUAUGCUAACCAUGCUAUUCAUUAAAAUUGAAGACUUGUAUCAUCAAAUAGCACCCAAGAGCAUCAAACGGAGGUAUAAUGGCCGAGUUAGAGGUGACAUAAAGCGAUAUUUUAAGAGUACACUCGGACCAAAACGAAAUUAUGUUUUCAUGACACUAUAGUAAAUCCCAAAUUGCGGAGAUGCUUUCUAUCACAUAAUAGUUACAACUAUGAAGGGUGACUAGGGCAAUAACUAAAAUUUCCAGAUAUUAAACCAUUUAAAUGACACUAAAGUAAGUCGAGCCAUGCCUUAUAAACAGAGAAGGAUAAACAAAUACUCUCAGCUACAAUCUAGAACUCAAAAAUAUCGAGUAACAAGUGAACAAGGGGACGAGUAAAAGAAAUUUCUUUCAAAAAAAAAAGCUAGACACGGACAAAUUUAUAAACAUGCAUUUAAAGAACAUAACUUCAACAAAAAAUAAUAAAAAAUCAACUCAUAUUCAUAAGAAACAAAAGGGUACAGCAGCCUAAAGCCUUUCGAUGCUUUCUAAACACAUAAUGAAGGCACGAAUGCGACUUCAUCAAAAAAUAAAUAAAUAUCAUAGCCAUCCAGUGAAACAAACCAAGACUUGAGGCGAGCAUAAUGGUCAUGAAUUCAAUAAAAAUGUAAACACAGAGACAUUUAACAACAGGCACUAAAUCAUCUUGAAACACGGAACCUUCACAACCAUUUCAGGAAAGGCACAACGAAUACUAACGACAACAUUUAGCUUUACAUGCUCCGAAUAAAAAUAAAUUGGAAAACUUAUACAGAACACAACUCAAGUCGAAAUCUCUACUGAAACUUAAUAGUAAAAGAGUUGGGAGUCAUAUACCUGUUGAGGAGCAGCGACCGAGACAACGACGAACUAAAGCGAUAAUCUUCACCACAAAAAUAGAGCUCGAACGAUGAUCCAAAGAGUCUAGACAGAAAACCGGACCCAAAACCGAAACUAUUGUCUCUCUAUUUUCAAAGUAUAUUGUGUAUUCCAACUGUUUCUACUCGAACUCUCCCCUGUAUUUGCUAAAAAAAAAUCCACUUUUCUCUCUGCCUUAGUUCAAAUUUCAACUCAAGACCCCAAAAAAAAAAAAUCCCUUUACCAAUGAAUGCAAAAGACGUUAUAUAGGGGAAAUUAGGGUAGAUUUUGGGGGGGGAAAUCCGGAUGGAAAUCUCCAUUCGAAAUUCAAAAAUCAAAAUCCUUUCACCCUUUUGGUUAAACACCUUUUCCUUGAGAUUUUGACUCAUUCCGAAAGGGGAAAGGGGGACGGUGUGCGUGCUUGCUUUUACUGCCCUAUUGGUACGAAUUUGAAAGGGACAUGAAGAAGAAGACAACACGUUGUCCGUGUAUUGACGCCGUGAGCUUGCUAAAACAGCGUCG